Molecule: ribosomal RNA, 240 nt
Filed under: uncultured bacterium
Lineage: Bacteria
Description: partial 16S ribosomal RNA
Rfam family: Bacterial small subunit ribosomal RNA
Source: RNAcentral
AGAGUUUGAUCAUGGCUCAGGAUGAACGCUAGCUACAGACUUAACACAUGCAAGUCGAGGGGCAGCAUGAACUUAGCUUGCUAAGUUUGAUGGCGACCGGCGCACGGGUGAGUAACACGUAUCCAACCUGCCGAUGACUCGGGGAUAGCCUUUCGAAUGAAAGAUUAAUACCCGAUGGCAUAGUUCUUCCGCAUGGUGGAACUAUUAAAGAAUUUCGGUCAUCGAUGGGGAUGCGUUCUA